AUGGAGUUUACAUGUGCCGAGCUACCCAGCGACCUCCACAAUUAUUUUAAACUCCUCGCGGAGGAUUACCGAAGGGCGCCCAACCUGGAAGCCCAGCGAAGCGCCAUGGAGGUGGCGGUGUGCACCUUGGAAGACGAGGACAGCGUGCUAGAACGCCCUAGUGUCCGUCACCUCUACGAGCGGAUGUGUGCGCGACUCGGGGAGUUAGACAGCACGCUCCGCACCACACCAGCCCCCACGCCGUCCGCUCGGAUUACGCCAGCCCUUGUCGCAUCCUCGAUGCCCCCGGAUUCAGCUGACUCCUCUGCUCCUCCUCCCACACCAGAUCAGCCCGCGGUCCCGGUUUCAGUUUCUUUUUCCCAGCCCCGUCUGACCGUUGCUGCUGCACCAGCCUGCCCAGCUCCAGUUUUACCCCACUGGGAGGAAUUCCUGCACCAGUACGGUUUCACGUCUCAUGCCCACGUUCUAGCCACAGAACUGCAACCAGCAACCACAUCAGUCCCCGCGUUUCAGUCAGCCCAGCCCUGCUCUGCUCAGUUUCCAGCCCCAGUUGAGUCGUGCUCUGCUCAGGCUCCAGCCCCAGUUCAGUCGUGCUCCGCUCAGGUUUCAGCUCAGCCUUGUCACGUUCAGAGUCCAGCUCAGCCUUGUCACGCUCAGGUUCCAGCUCAGCCUUGUCACAUUCAGGUUUCAGCUCAGCCUUGUCACGUUCAGGUUUCAGCUCAGCCUUGUCACGUUCAGAGUCCAGCUCAGCCUUGUCACGUUCAGAGUCCAGCUCAGCCUUGUCACGUUCAGAGUCCAGCUCAGCCUUGUCACGUUCAGAGUCCAGCUCAGCCUUGUCACGUUCAGAGUCCAGCUCAGCCUUGUCACGUUCAGAGUCCAGCUCAGCCUUGUCACGUUCAGGAUCCAGUCCAGUCGAGCUCGGCAGCUGCGAACAGCACUCCAAUGAGAAGUCCGCGAGCAGCACUGCCGGCCCUGGUAAGGACGCCGUUCCAGCUCCCAUCGGCCCUGUAG
This 1011-nucleotide long non-coding RNA is filed under the name Betta splendens (Siamese fighting fish). Its description in RNAcentral is "lncRNA (ENSBSLG00000005906.1)". Lineage: Eukaryota; Metazoa; Chordata; Actinopteri; Anabantiformes; Osphronemidae. The record is from RNAcentral.